UACUAACAUCCUUCAUAAAGCUGAUGAGACCCUCCGAAGAACCAUCUCUCAGACGAUGAGGGAAGCCAAAGUGUGAGAGCGCAUGUGGGCUUCCAGAUGGCGCUCAUAAGCAGAUGCAAACGGACAUAAGUGACAUCGAUGAGGCUUCUCGCCUGUUUGAGAGAGACAUGGAAGAAACUGCAGGAGCAGCUCACUUAUAGGACUUUUUAUGUUUGUCCACUGGAUGUGAGAACUUAAAAAAUAAAAUGCUUUGCAGAAAUGC
RNAcentral lists this long non-coding RNA (262 nucleotides) under Rattus norvegicus (Norway rat). Its description in RNAcentral is "long non-coding RNA NONRATT001276". The record is from RNAcentral. Lineage: Eukaryota; Metazoa; Chordata; Mammalia; Rodentia; Muridae.